GCUGGGUGUGGUGGUGUACACCUGUAAUCCCAGCUACUUGGGAGGCUGAGGCAGGAGAAUCACUUGAACCCGGGAGAUAAAAGUUGCAGUGAGCCGAGGUUGUGCCACCGCACUCCAGCCUGGGUGACAGAGUGAGACUCUGUCUCAA
Molecule: non-coding RNA, 148 nt
Organism: Gorilla gorilla gorilla (western lowland gorilla)
Lineage: Eukaryota; Metazoa; Chordata; Mammalia; Primates; Hominidae
Rfam family: Metazoan signal recognition particle RNA
About the family: The signal recognition particle (SRP) is a universally conserved ribonucleoprotein.
Source: Rfam